Molecule: long non-coding RNA, 1930 nt
Filed under: Daucus carota (carrot)
Lineage: Eukaryota; Viridiplantae; Streptophyta; Magnoliopsida; Apiales; Apiaceae
Description: long non-coding RNA (DCAR_LNC002320)
Source: RNAcentral
CCCCUGCAUCAUCAUCAUCAUUGCCACUUUACAUAUAAUUUCACCUCCAUUGUCUAUUUCAUAAUUGGGGUUUUAGGGUUUCUAACGGCUCGGGUAAUCAGACUUUCCCGACUAAGCUAAGUAGGCAGUAAAAUUAAGUCACAAAAUAUACAGAUUCCGAAAUCAAUACUGUAAUUAAGCAAUCGUUUCUUUCUAGUAUCCGUUUCCAAUUUCCAAUCUACAACAGGCAGAUCUAUAGGACAUACACGAACACAUACUUUAUAAGCAAUGCAGUUAUCAAAUUCAAAGUGGAUUCGGCCGCGGAAACGCUCCGAUGUAAUCCGGGAUAUUGAAUAGUUACAGGUGAACGUAGUACCGAUUAGCGUCGAUUUGGAAUUAUUUUUAUCUAAUCUCUUGAAUUCUUUUACUCAAUUAAGCUGGUUUGGAUAUAUUUGGGGCAGUUUGGUUCAUGGUGUCUGAAAUUUGGGUCAGUUCAUUCCAAAUCAUACCUCUUCCAACCUCAUAUCGCUACUUGAACCGAACAAUCUCUUUAUGAGUUAAAUUUUUUAGGGUGAGUAUCGACUUCUCGCACGAGAAGGUAUAUAAGAUACUCGAUCAUCCCAUUUCACCCUUGUGAGCGUUGAAAAGCUAAAGAUUUCGAGUAAAUAUUAUUUUUGACUUCAUUCCGAUAUAAAAAUCAAUCGGAACAUGUCGGAUAUUUAGAUGAUUGAAUCGGCGAGUAAAAUAUUGAGGCUAGGGGUGGGCAUAAAAAUCUGAAAACUGGAUUAUCUGAUUUUCUGAUCCGGUAUCCGAUUCCGAUUUACAAAAAUCCGAAAAUUCAGAUAUUUUAUCCAAAAAAUUGGACUGGAUAUUUGAUCCCCAUUUUUUUCAUAAAUCCGAAUUCUAAUCAUUAUUUUCUAUAAGACCGGAUAUCCGGAUCGAUCCGGUUUUUGAUUUCUAUCUAAAAUAAAUAAAUUUUUCAUGAUUAAUAUACUUACUAAAGAUAAAUAAUACACUACAUGUUAUUGAUAAUAUAAAUUAUUAUGAUUAUAUUGUUUAUAUAUAUAUAUAUAUAUAAGAAUUCAUUAUAUUUGAUUAAAUAUAGUCAGUGUGAUGAUCACAAAUAUCAUUUAUAAGAACUAUAAUAAAAAUUAAAUUUUAUAUUCCACUAAAAUUAAAUGAAGUAUAAGAAAAAUAAUAUUAUAGAUGCUAAACUUAAAAUUUUGUUUUUUUAAGUUGCUACUAAUUAUUUAUAAUUUAUAAACUUAGUUGUAGAAGAUUAAAAAUAUAAUUUAAUUGAAGAAUAAUUUAUGAAUUAAAUGUAGUUAUAUGUAACAAAUUCGGAUCUGAAUUAUCCGGUUAUUUGCAUGGAUAUCCGGAAUCGGAACCGGAAUUGAUUUAUGAAGAUCCGCAANGUUUCCAAUUUCCAAUCUACAACAGGCAGAUCUAUAGGACAUACACGAACACAUACUUUAUAAGCAAUGCAGUUAUCAAAUUCAAAGUGGAUUCGGCCGCGGAAACGCUCCGAUGUAAUCCGGGAUAUUGAAUAGUUACAGGUGAACGUAGUACCGAUUAGCGUCGAUUUGGAAUUAUUUUUAUCUAAUCUCUUGAAUUCUUUUACUCAAUUAAGCUGGUUUGGAUAUAUUUGGGGCAGUUUGGUUCAUGGUGUCUGAAAUUUGGGUCAGUUCAUUCCAAAUCAUACCUCUUCCAACCUCAUAUCGCUACUUGAACCGAACAAUCUCUUUAUGAGUUAAAUUUUUUAGGGUGAGUAUCGACUUCUCGCACGAGAAGGUAUAUAAGAUACUCGAUCAUCCCAUUUCACCCUUGUGAGCGUUGAAAAGCUAAAGAUUUCGAGUAAAUAUUAUUUUUGACUUCAUUCCGAUAUAAAAAUCAAUCGGAACAUGUCGGAUAUUUAGAUGAUUGAAUCGGCGAGUAAAAUAUUGAGGCUAGG